Molecule: transfer RNA, 541 nt
Filed under: uncultured cyanobacterium
Lineage: Bacteria; Bacillati; Cyanobacteriota
Description: partial contains 16S ribosomal RNA, 16S-23S ribosomal RNA intergenic spacer, and 23S ribosomal RNA
Rfam family: tRNA (bases 211-283)
Source: RNAcentral
CAGGGAGACAACAAAAUGUUAAAUAUUAAUUUUGUCACCUUAGGUCGAUCGGUACCUCACAUCCUUAUUUUAUUAAGGAUUUUAUUUCCUAAGUUUUUUCUAGGUCACACCCAUUACUUUUCCUGGGCCAUUAGCUCAGGUGGUUAGAGCGCACCCCUGAUAAGGGUGAGGUCCCUGGUUCAAGUCCAGGAUGGCCCAUAUCUCUAUGUUGGGGGUAUAGCUCAGUUGGUAGAGCGCCUGCUUUGCAAGCAGGAUGUCAGCGGUUCGAGUCCGCUUACCUCCACUGAUUACCACCUCUUCCAUAAUCUUAAUAGGAGGGAAAUGUUUUGAGUUGUGAUCAAAUUCUGAACGAAUCUAGCUUCCUAAUCAAAUUAUUAAGACGCUGGACUCAUUGAAUUAAAUUCAUUGUUUUCAGAGAACCUUGACAACUGCAUAGAUUAUUUUAAAAACAAUAAGCAUCUUUAAAGAUGCAGAUUUAUUAUUUUUGCGAAUGCAUUAAUAACAAUUCUAUUAAGCUGAUGCUUCAAUUUUUGAAGUUAUU